GUAGGUGGCAAGCGUUGUCCGGAAUUAUUGGGCGUAAAGCGCGCGCAGGCGGGUUCUUUAAGUCUGAUGUGAAAGCCCACGGGCUCAACCGUGGAGGGUCAUUGGAAACUGGAGAACUUGAGUACAGGAGAGGAAAGCGGAAUUCCACGUGUAGCGGUGAAAUGCGUAGAGAUGUGGAGGAACACCAGUGGCGAAGGCGGCUUUCUGGUCCGUAACUGACGCUGAGGCGCGAAAGCGUGGGGAGCAAACAGGAUUAGAUACCCUGGUAGUCCACGCCGUAAACGAUGAGUGCUAAGUGUUAGGGGGUUUCCGCCCCUUAGUGCUGCAGCUAACGCAUUAAGCACUCCGCCUGGGGAGUACGGCCGCAAGGCUG
This 373-nucleotide ribosomal RNA is filed under the name uncultured organism. Its description in RNAcentral is "partial 16S ribosomal RNA". It matches the Rfam family "Bacterial small subunit ribosomal RNA", at positions 527 to 896 of the family's 1533-position model. The record is from RNAcentral.